UUGUUCCAAUCAAAUCAUGCCACAUAUGCGGGAGCACGGAUGGGCACACACGCGGGGAGCAGCCAAGUCUCGUCCAUCAGAGUGCCCUCGAACCUCCCCAUCCAGGAUCCCUUCGCCGCCGCCCUCGCUCGCACAUCAAGCGCCCUCGAUCCCUGCGUCGCCGAACCUUCGCCGUCGGCGAUCCCUGCGGGACACCUCUGCCACCCGUGCCUUACCCUCCUCUGUGUGCUGGUGGUGGUGAUGCAGUGCGUCAUCGAUCGCGAGAUCGGCAAGCCCAAGUACCGGUGCGCUUGGGCCUGUGUGGACACGGCCGCGGACGGCGGCUGCAGGACGAUCGAGUGCGGCCUCCAGUACUCCACGCAAGAUCAGGUCGGCACCUGCCCGAUCCCCAUCCGAGUCCAGGGCCGGCCGUGCCGUCUGUGGCGACCGGCCAUGCUUCAGCCUUCAGCUGCCCCGGCCUGAGUCUAGGGCCGUCAGGACCGCCUCCCAGCCGUUCGACGGUUUGCCUGACUCGGCUUCCAGCAUGUAUGUAUGAUCGGUCUUGCCCCGUUGCCUUCCUCUUCACCGGAGCUCCUGGCCUUGAACCGUCCCCGAUAUGGUGCCGAUCUGGCAGCCGGCCACGCCCCGAUGCUCUCCGACAUUCUCUCCAUCUUAGUUCAUGCUCCCCUUACCUCUUCCCUCGAUUCUUGAGGCCAGUAUUGCUGGACUUACGAUUUGAACAUACUUGUGUCUUUGUUGUGCUGCAGGUAACUUGCGAUUUGUCCCCGGCGACGUCACCUGCAUCGACCGUGCGGCUAGGUUCGCCUUUGUCCUCGCCGGCGUCACGGCCAGAUGCCACAUUGAGUCAACCUCCGGGUCCAGCAGCGCAGGCUCCUUCCCGUUGCUACACUAUUCCGCAGCCUAGGAGACCCAACUAGCAGGACCACACCUCGGCUGCUUUUGUCGUGCCUCAAGGAACCUGACAGUGUCGUCAGUAUCAGGUUAGUUCCAUUACACUCGGGUCACCGGAGGUUGUCGUGCUACUGUGCUCCUCUCUUGUUGUAGCGGUUAGCUGCGGCGGCUCACGGAUCAUCCUCCCACGAGGUUGUGGCUUUCUCAAUUGAUAAAAAUAACAUGACGCCACAUAGUUCUUUUAUAUAUAACCAUCAGAAUCCUGAUGUGUGUGUGUGUGUGUGUGUGUGUGUCAUAUAAUAUCUUGCCGUCUAUGUAUAUUGUUUCCCUUUUAUUCAUGUACUACUUCUCUAAAUGUAAGCCACUUCUUUUCUAUUGUGGGCGUUAUCUUUCGAUGUUAAUGGACUAAAAGUCUAAAGCCUUUCCUUCUGCAAAAUGAUGAUAUUAGAGCUAUGCGUCUUAUAAUCCCUACUGUAUAUGACAAUGUGAUAUUCAGUUAUAUUAUGUUCGAAGCAUGGCAUUUUUCCUUCCUUUUUUUCGAUGAAUCACGUGGUAAAUUAUGAUGUACAAUGACCGCUCUUGCAAAAAAAAUUGAGACUCAGAGAGGGGUUCUACAACAAGCAAGGUUCUAGGAUCUGAAUCUAAAUGAACUCUUCUUCAGUCCAGUCCUAGCACAAACUAAUCAGAGAAACAAAGAAGCAGCAACGCAUGCGUCCCCUUCUUGCACACAAGAGUUGUCUUUGUGAAAGUCAUGAACCUUUUGUCCAUCACUGGAUUUGAACAUGUUAAUUCUAAGCUUCUGUUCGGAGUUUAUAUUCUAGCUUUCAUGCGAAGUAGUUACAUUUAUCGCAUGGAAGACGAUGCCCAUAGAGUGGAAGGUGGGGAGAUUCAGACUUUGGAGGAUGCAAAUAUGCUCAAAGUUUUUCAAUUAAGGUGAGCCUUGCAGAACUAUCUUUUAAUGUUUCCAGUUUAUCCGAAAGUAUUUUAGCCUAAAUUUCCUGUCAUUUAGAUAGAUGUGGGUUAUGCUAAUCUGACUGGUAAGUUAUGGUAUUGUAGCUACUGCACAUGUCCCUCGAUUUCCCAGUUCCAUGUGUCAGGAUGCUAAUAUGGGUGUUACUAUAUUGCCUUCAAGUUUAUCCUAAAGUAUUUUAGCCUAAAUUUCUUGCCAUUUAGAUAGAUGUUGGUUAUGCUAAUCUGACUGGUGGGUUAUGCUAAUCUGACUGGUAAGUAUGAUAUUGUAGCUACUGUACAUGUCCCUCAAUUUCCGAGUUCCAUGUGUAGGAUGCUAAUAUGGGUGUUACUAUAUUACCUUCCAUUUUGUAAUAUGUUAUGUUUGCAAUUUCUCAGGGCCGCCGCGGCCGCCGUCCGUAGCAACGCAUAGGCCGCUUGCCCAGCUCCCUCAUUCCGAGCACGACACCACGCGUCAGAGUUCUACCGGUGAUCCGUGUUGUCGCUGACGGUGUCAUAGGAUCUGCGGUGCAUGUGGACAAGGCGAUGGGGCCGCCAACCUACCUCCUCUUCACCACAGCGCGUGUGGAUUCUUGGGCUACCUCAACUUGGAUCAGCUUUUUCAAGAGGGGAUGCUUGCCAUUCAGAGGAUCUGAUGGGGAAGAUAAAGACAACUAAUACGCUGAAAAUGAUUUUACAUCCUGGUUCGAAAAGUAAAAGGGAAAUCUUCGAGUAAAGGUAUGUUCUACUGCAAAGGAACUUCCCGAGGGAUCCCAUUGAAAUUGAAAGUAUGUUUCUUUUUUUAUUCCUAGAUUUUGAGCAUCUUGAAGGUUCAUCACUUGAUUUUCACUACUACAUCAUGUUUUAUGUUACAACCCGUUUGAAGAGGAAUUUCAGAGAUAUCUUCCCGCUUAUAUGGAAAUUUUGCAGCAAGUGGAUUCCAUGGAUGUCUUUGAUGAGGGCCAACGCUGCACCAUCAUGGAUGGACGGGACAGCUUGGAGGCGGACCGACGCCUACACCCCAACCCUCGCUGGCACCCAUGCUGAACGACGCCGUCGGCGCGCCAACGCCGGACUUUGCACGGAUACCUCAUCUUGGACUGAUGCUGCCGGGGCAGCAACUCCACACCACCACAGUCUGGUAAUGCAAUUCCACCUCCCUUUCUUUGUUCUGAGUCAAUGUUAAUCAUCCGACCGGAGUUGGUCAAUGCUAGAUGAUUUGGCUUGAUGGUGGCAUUGCAUAUAGCAGCUUGUGGAAUGGUAAUGUUGCUGCCGUAGCCUUGAUUGUUUUGUAGUUUCAUCCUAGGAAGCAUUUAGGCUGUUAUGAACCUGGAUGUUUCACUUUAGGUUGGUUAAUUCAACUUCUUGCUGUCACUGACGUAUUGUUUUUCUUUAACCUGCUAGGAGUCCUGGGUACUGCCAUGGGAGUGAAUUGCAGAAAACAUCGACAUUGAAGGCUAGGGUUGCAGAAACCACACUUCUACAGUUUUGUGCCAAAAACCACUAAUUCCGAGCCUAAUUUCUUGCAAAAAACACUAGUCGAUUGCUUAGGCUAUUUUGAGCACGAUUAUGACAUGUGGGUCCCGCUGGACAGGGUGACAUGGCAAACUAAAAAGCCAAGGACAUCCGGAUACAAUUUUGUUUUACAAAAUGACCCCUAAAAAAAGCAAUCGGGUCCUCGAGACCUUCAUCUCCCAUGGCGGAGGAGGGCGGCCACUCCCUCCCCGUGCGCGGCCAGCCCACGAGAGACCGACGUGCCUGCCCUUGCUGCCCUUAGCGCUCCCCCCUUCCCACCGGAGCAGCAGCUCUCACGGCUGCCGGAGCCGCAGCCGCCGUGGGUAUCGGAGGGCCGGCACCAGCAGCUUCUGAUGGCCGACAUCGACAGCUUUUGCGGGCGCGGCGGAGGCCGAUGUGGGGCACGACUUGGGGCGGCGGCGACGGAGCUCUCUGGUGCGCCUCCCUACCGACCUGCCAUAUGCAGCAGCGGCGCCGGCCACGAGCAGCAGCGGCGACGGGAGCGAGCAGCGGCGGGGACGGGAGCGAGCAGCAACGAGGACGGAAGAAAGCAGCAGCAGCCGUUCACUGGAGCGAGCAGCAGCCGCGCCGGCCGCGCGUGCGCACGAGCAGCGGUGCCGGCGGCCAGGCGGCCAUGUUGUAGGUGAGGUGCUGCUGGCAAGCUCGAGCUCCACCGGCCAGCGGACAUGAGUCAACGGUCAGAGGAUGAAGAUGGAACAUUAUCCUCUUCUUUUUUAAUGUGAAAAAAUGACCUUAUCCUCUUAGGCUCUUUUACAGUGUAGUCCCUUCUAUUAUGUCUAUUUGCAAUCCGUUAUAUUGUGUCAAGUCAGCCUGUCCAGCGGGUCCCAGCUGUCAUAAACAUGAUUAAAACGAGCGAAACGGAUGACUAGUGUUUUUUGCAAAAAAUUAGCCUCAGAAUUAGUGUUUUUUGGCACAAAACUGUAGAAGUGUGGUUUCUGCAACACUAGCCUUCAAUGUCGAUGUUUUUUGCAAUUCACUCCUGCCAUGGUGAUGAUGUCGAACAAAACAACCUUCAUCGACGGGUACAAAUAAUUUAGUUUGUCUAUUUUUUCAGGGAUAAACUGCCUUAACCGAAGCAGCAUAUGUUGGAGAAUGUAGAUUCAACUUUCGUUUCAGUAGCUUUGGAGGUAUCCUAUACGACUAUGAGUGAUAUACUCUCCUGUCUCCUCCCUCCAUUUUACUUGAGUUAACCCCUGUACGCACAUGUCUACGUCUGCCUUCAGGUGCUUUUAUUGCUACAGAUAAUGUACUUUUAUGUAUUUCAAGCUCUU
Triticum aestivum (bread wheat) is the source of this 4646-nucleotide long non-coding RNA. RefSeq lists it as uncharacterized. The transcript has 4 exons. The record is from RefSeq and is a predicted model, not a curated record. Lineage: Eukaryota; Viridiplantae; Streptophyta; Magnoliopsida; Poales; Poaceae.